GACGAACCGUCCUAACGUUAUUCGGAAUCACUGGGCUUAAAGGGCGCGUAGGCGGCUUAUCAAGUCCGGGGUGAAAGCCUCCAGCUCAACUGGAGAAGUGCCUUGGAUACUGGUAGGCUUGAGGGAGGUAGGGGCAACUGGAACUUCCGGUGGAGCGGUGAAAUGCGUUGAUAUCGGAAGGAACGCCGGUGGCGAAAGCGAGUUGCUGGAUCUCUUCUGACGCUGAGGCGCGAAAGCUAGGGGAGCAAACGGG
Molecule: ribosomal RNA, 253 nt
Filed under: uncultured bacterium
Lineage: Bacteria
Description: partial 16S ribosomal RNA
Rfam family: Bacterial small subunit ribosomal RNA
Source: RNAcentral